UGUAGAUGAGCCUCCGGAGAACAUAUUUUUGUGUCAAUUUUAUAUCAAGGACUUGAGAAAUAUCUUACUGUCGUGUUUCACUUGUGCCACAACACUGACAGACUGAAGCACCAAUACACCUUGGUUCAGGAAGGCCUUGUCCCUGCUGGCAGAAGCUGUAAGGACUGAUUUUAUUUUCACUCUUACAGUCACCAGCUCUGAGGAAUUGCACUGGGUUGCCUAGGCUUUUGUAGGGAGGCGGAUAGGAGGUGGCGAGGCCUCAGCGCUGAGUGCUUUGAUCAUUCUUUCGCAAAGCAAAGAGCUGCUCUGUGUUGCACAAGACUGGAGUUUCUCAAGUCCGUCGUGGUUGCACUAAGCACGUGAUAAACACAGGGCCUAGCAGUGGUGCUCCACAGCUCAGCUUUCUGCAGACAGUUAUGACAGAGCAACCACUUGGAAAUCAAAGGAUUUCUCAGAAGCAGCCGAUCAUCUGAGGAGUGCAGGAAUGAUCUUCAAAGUAGCCUAAUCACUUCAUGCUGACAUUUUAAUAACAUCAAUGGGAGGACUUGCGGAGAACAGCAGGUAUGAAAAGAUGGGGAAUACAGUCAUCGGCUUUGUAGAACCUGAGGAGGCGAAGCUACAUCCUGGUACCUCUGCAGUGUGGUGGAAAGGUUUCUUCCUGGUGAAGGGAAGAUACAGAAUUUAACACCAUCCGAAGAUUCUACAAUAGCAACUUGAUCAUGUUGUGCUAAUACAUAGCUCUCAAAACAAACAAACACAAAACAUAAAACCAACCCCAAAACGUUGUUUGCGUCCACUACAUUUAUAGAAGACUGUAUCCUUAAAAGAUCUGAAGCAACUGGAAAUUUAUAAAAUAAAUAAUAGAAGAAAGAUGACUCUGGGUCUUUU
RNAcentral lists this long non-coding RNA (888 nucleotides) under Anser cygnoides (Swan goose). Its description in RNAcentral is "lncRNA (ENSACDG00005002035.1)". Lineage: Eukaryota; Metazoa; Chordata; Aves; Anseriformes; Anatidae. The record is from RNAcentral.